GAUGAACGCUGGCGGCACGCCUAACACAUGCAAGUCGAACGGAGUUUAAGAGAGCUUGCUCUUUUAAACUUAGUGGCGGACGGGUGAGUAACACGUGAGCAACCUGCCUUUCAGAGAGGGAUAGCUUCUGGAAACGGAUGGUAAUACCUCAUAACAUACGGAUUCGGCAUCGUUUCUGUAUCGAAGAUUUAUCGCUGAAAGAUGGGCUCGCGUCUGAUUAGCUGGUUGGUGAGGUAACGGCUUACCAAGGCGACGAUCUGUAGCCGGACUGAGAGGUUGGACGGCCACAUUGGGACUGAGACACGGCCCAAACUCCUACGGGAGGCAGCAGUGGGGGAUAUUGCACAAUGGAGGAAACUCUGAUGCAGCGACGCCGCGUGAGUGAAGAAGUAUUUCGGUAUGUAAAGCUCUAUCAGCAGGGAAGAAAGACUCGCAAGAGAGAUGACGGUACCUGACUAAGAGCCCCGGCUACUACGUGCCAGCAGCCGCGGUAUACGUAGGGGCAGCGUUAUCCGGAUUUACUGGGUGUAAAGGGAGCGUAACGCAUGCAAGUCUGAUGUGAAACCAGGGCUCACCCCCGAUGCAUUGAACUGUUUAUUCAGUCUGAGGGCAGGGAAUUCUGUGUACGUAUGUAAUCAAGAACUGCAGCCGGCAAACUAGCACUGAAGACGCCCCAAGAGUCG
Molecule: ribosomal RNA, 683 nt
Filed under: uncultured bacterium
Lineage: Bacteria
Description: bacterial SSU rRNA
Rfam family: Bacterial small subunit ribosomal RNA
Source: RNAcentral